Molecule: ribosomal RNA, 408 nt
Filed under: uncultured bacterium
Lineage: Bacteria
Description: partial 16S ribosomal RNA
Rfam family: Bacterial small subunit ribosomal RNA
Source: RNAcentral
GACGAACGCUGGCGGCGUGCUUAACACAUGCAAGUCGAACGGAGUGGCGAACGGGGGAGUAACACGUGGGUGACCUGCCCUGCACUUCGGGAUAAGCCUGGGAAACUGGGUCUAAUACCGGAUAGUGUGGGAUGGGCCCGCGGCCUAUCACCGUGUGGGUGGGGUAAUGGCCUACCAAGGCGGCGACGGGUAGCCGGACUGCGAGGUGGGACGGCCACAUUGGGACGGAGACACGGCCCAGACGCCUACGGGAGGCAGUAGUGGGGAAUAUUGCACAAUCGUCGGAAGCCUGAUGCAGCGACGCCGCGUGGGUGAUGACGGCCUUCGGGUUGUAAACUCCUUUCACCAUCGACGCGGUAGAUGGAGAAGAAGCACCGGCUAACUACGUGCCAGCAGCCGCGGUAAUUC